UCUCAUGGACUUUAUUUUAUUUUAUUUUUUUUGUAAUUUUUUGAAAAUUUAAAUCCAAGUUAGUUAACAUAUAGUGUAUUAAUGAUUUCAGGAAUAGAAUUUAAUGAUUCCUCACUUACAUACAACACCCAGUGUUCACCCCAACAAGUGCCCUCUUUAAUGCUCAUCACCUGUUUAGCCCAUCCUCCCACCCAACACCCCACCAGCAACCCUCAGUUUGUUCUCUGUAUUUAAAGGUCUUUUAUGGUUUGUCUCCUCUCUUAUUUUUUCUUCCCUUCCCAUAUGCUCAUCUAUUUUGUUUCUUAAAUUCCACAUACAAAUGAAAUCAUAUGAUAUUUGUGUCUCUUUGACUGACUUAUUUUGUUUAGCAUAAUACACUCUAGUUCCAUCUGCAUUGUUGCAAAUGACAAGAUCACAUUCUUUUUGAUCACCGAGUAAUAUUCCAUUGUAUAUAUACACCACAUCUUCUUUAUCCAUUCAUCAGUCGAUGGACAUUUGGGCUCUUUACAUACAUUGGCUAUUGUCAGUAGUGCUGCUAUAACAUUGGAGGGCAUGUGCCUGCCCCUUCAAAUCAGCAUUUUUGUAUCCUUUGGAUAAAUACCUAGUGGUGCAAUUGCUGAUUAUAGGGUAGUUCUAUUUUUAAUUUUUUGAGGAACCUCCAUACUGUUUUCCAGAGUGGCUGCACCCGUCCAUGCAUUGUAGUAUUAAAGAUGUAAAUAUUGAUGUCAUUUGAGAGACAAAGGUAGCAACAGCUUAAAUAAAAUAGGCAUUUCUCUAGCUCACUUUCUUAACAAUGUGGGUGGAAAUAGCCAAAGCGGGUUUGGUGGUUCCAUGGGAUUAGGGAUCCAGGCUACUUUCAUCUUCUUGUUCUACCCUAACAUGCAGCUUCCACCUUGUGGGCCGACAGGACUGCUCUAGCUCCAGCCAUCACACCUGCAUUUCAACUGUUGGGAAGGGGAUAAGUGGAAAGGGAGAGCAUACUUCUUUCCCUCAAGCCAAGAAGAACCAGUUUUAGACUGGUGUGUGAUUUGCUGAAGAGCUUGGAAGGUACCAGAGGAGAUUCAUGUCGAAAUCCCAUCUCCUGUUCUCCAACCUUACUUUCUAUGAAGACAAAACUUUGAAGACAAACUGAGUUUCCACAGGAAUAAUCACACAGAAGGACAGACCACUGCUAAUUUAUGUAGCUGGCGAUGCAGGGGUGUUGCCUCCUCUCCAGCAUGUCAGCCCAACUUCCUUUCAGUCUGUGCUGUCCAAGACCCAGUCUAGCUAGUUCAAACUCAUCUUCUCACCAAAUUCCAAGGCUAUUAAAGAUUCAAGGACAGGGCUCAGUUGGUUAAGCAUCCAACUCUUGAUUUCAGCUCAGGUCAUGAUCUCACCGUUCGUGAGUUCAAGCCCCAUGCUGGGCUCUGCACUGACAGUGCGGAGCCUGCUUGAGAUUCUCUCUCCUACCCUCUCUCUGCACCCCCAUAUGUUUCUAAAUAAAUAAAUAAAUAAAUAGGUAGAUAAAUAAAUAAAUAAAUAAAUAUAUUUUUUAAAAGGGGUGUGGGGCAGCUGGGAGGCUCAGUCAGUUAUGCAUCCAGCUCUUGGUUUUGGCUCAGGUCAUGAUCUCACAGUUUGUGGGUUUGAGCCCCACAUCAGGCUCCACGCUGGCAAUGCGGAGCCUGCUUGGGAUUGUCUUUCUAUCCUUCUAUCUCUGUCCCUCCCCUGCUCACUCUCUCUCUCUCUC
Molecule: long non-coding RNA, 1726 nt
Organism: Neofelis nebulosa (Clouded leopard)
Lineage: Eukaryota; Metazoa; Chordata; Mammalia; Carnivora; Felidae
Exons: 2
Source: RefSeq, a predicted model, not a curated record